AUUGAACGCUGGCGGCAUGCUUUACACAUGCAAGUCGAACGGUAACAGCACUUCGGUGGCUGACGAGUGGCGAACGGGUGAGUAAUACAUCGGAACGUGCCUAGUAGUGGGGGAUAACUACUCGAAAGAGUAGCUAAUACCGCAUGAGAUCUAAGGAUGAAAGCAGGGAACCUUCGGGCUUUGCGCUACUAGAGCGGCUGAUGGCAGAUUAGGUAGUCGGUGGGAUAAAAGCUUACCAAGCCGACGAUCUGUAGCAGGUCUGAGAGGACGACCCGCCACAUGGUGACUGAGACACGGCCCAGACUCCGGCGGGGGGCAGCAGUGGGGAAUCUUGGACAAUGCACGCAAGCCUGAUCUAGCAAUGUCGCGUGCAGGAUGAAGGCCUUCGGGUGGGAAACUGCUUUUGUACGGAACGAUGAGCCCUCUUCUUAUACAGGAGGGUCAUGACGGUACCGGAAGAAUAAGCACCGGCUAACUACGUG
Molecule: ribosomal RNA, 482 nt
Filed under: uncultured bacterium
Lineage: Bacteria
Description: partial 16S ribosomal RNA
Rfam family: Bacterial small subunit ribosomal RNA
Source: RNAcentral